AGUGAACGCUGGCGGUAGGCCUAACACAUGCAAGUCGAACGGCAGCACUGUAAGAGCUUGCUCUUACGGGUGGCGAGUGGCGGACGGGUGAGGAAUACAUCGGAAUCUACUUUUUUGUGGGGGAUAACGUAGGGAAACUUACGCUAAUACCGCAUACGACCUACGGGUGAAAGCAGGGGAUCUUCGGACCUUGCGCGAUUGAAUGAGCCGAUGUCGGAUUAGCUAGUUGGCGGGGUAAAGGCCCACCAAGGCGACGAUCCGUAGCUGGUCUGAGAGGAUGAUCAGCCACACUGGAACUGAGACACGGUCCAGACUCCUACGGGAGGCAGCAGUGGGGAAUAUUGGACAAUGGGCGCAAGCCUGAUCCAGCCAUACCGCGUGGGUGAAGAAGGCCUUCGGGUUGUAAAGCCCUUUUGUUGGGAAAGAAAAGCAGCAGGUUAACACCCCGCUGUUCUGACGGUACCCAAAGAAUAAGCACCGGCUAACUUCGUG
Molecule: ribosomal RNA, 492 nt
Filed under: uncultured bacterium
Lineage: Bacteria
Description: partial 16S ribosomal RNA
Rfam family: Bacterial small subunit ribosomal RNA
Source: RNAcentral